GCACCCGUAGUAAAACGGAUAUUACGUCGGCCUCCGAAGCCGAAGGUCCAGGUUCGAUUCCUGGCGGGUGCA
RNAcentral lists this transfer RNA (72 nucleotides) under Verrucomicrobiia bacterium. RNAcentral's name for it is "tRNA-Arg". It matches the Rfam family "tRNA". From Rfam's summary of the family: Transfer RNA (tRNA) molecules are approximately 80 nucleotides in length. Their secondary structure includes four short double-helical elements and three loops (D, anti-codon, and T loops). The record is from RNAcentral. RNAcentral also lists the same sequence under 1 other name. Lineage: Bacteria; Pseudomonadati; Verrucomicrobiota; Verrucomicrobiia.